RNAcentral lists this ribosomal RNA (506 nucleotides) under uncultured bacterium. RNAcentral describes it as "partial 16S ribosomal RNA". It matches the Rfam family "Bacterial small subunit ribosomal RNA", at positions 30 to 523 of the family's 1533-position model. The record is from RNAcentral.
AUUGAACGCUGGCGGCAUGCCUAACACAUGCAAGUCGAGCGGCAGCACGGUCUAGUUUACUAGAUGGGUGGCGAGUGGCGGACGGGUGAGUAAUGCGCAGGAAUAUGCCUUAAAGAGGGGGAUAACUUGGGGAAACUCAAGCUAAUACCGCAUAAUCUCUAUGGAGAAAAGCUGGGGACCUUCGGGCCUGGCGCUUUAAGAUUAGCCUGCGUCCGAUUAGCUAGUUGGUAGGGUAAAGGCCUACCAAGGCGACGAUCGGUAGCUGGUCUGAGAGGAUGACCAGCCAAACUGGAACUGAGACACGGUCCAGACUCCUACGGGAGGCAGCAGUGGGGAAUAUUGGACAAUGGGGGCAACCCUGAGCCAGCAAUGCCGCGUGUGUGAAGAAGGCCUGAGGUUUGUAAAGCACUUUCAGUGGGGAGGAGGAUUGCUAGGUUAAGAGCUAGGUAAUUGGACGUUACCCACAGAAGAAGCACCGGCUAACUCCGUGCCAGCCGCCGCGGUAA